RNAcentral lists this ribosomal RNA (4997 nucleotides) under Loa loa (African eye worm). RNAcentral's name for it is "28S_rRNA". The stretch from base 583 to 3961 matches the Rfam family "Eukaryotic large subunit ribosomal RNA". Lineage: Eukaryota; Metazoa; Nematoda; Chromadorea; Rhabditida; Onchocercidae. The record is from RNAcentral.
ACUCUUAGCGGUGGAUCACUUGGCUCGUGGAUCGAUGAAGAACGCAGCUAGCUGCGAUAAAUAGUGCGAAUUGCAGACGCAUUGAGCACAAAGAUUUCGAACGCACAUUGCACCAUCGGGUUGAUUCCCGAUGGUACGUCUGGUUGAGGGUCAAUAAAUAAGACGAUAUAAUUUAUCAAAUAAUUCAUUCAAACAUUCAAAUUUGAUGCGAAUAUUUUGUUUGUUUGAUAAAAGAUUAUUUGAUUCGAAUUAUUUUAUUCAUCAGGUGAUUUUAAAAGAAGAGAGUAAUCUUGAAAUCCCCUGAUAAGUUGUACAAAAAAAAAAAAAAUAAGGAGUAAAAUAGAAAUACAUAUAUUUUACUUACUUAUAAUUUUAAACAUAUUAUAAAUAUAUAAUUGCAUCUUUCAUAUAUAUAUAUAUAAGCAAGGGAAGAUGUCAAUUAUCUAUCAUCAUUUUAUAUUCAUUAUAAUGAUUGAUUCAUUUAUUGCUUUUUGUUUCAUGAUAAAAGGAAUAAAUAAGGAUAGAUAAUGAAUGAUGAAAUGAUUGAUCCAAUCAAAUAUAAUAUGUUUUCUAUCAUUUCUUUGACCUCAACUCAGUCGUGAUUACCCGCUGAAUUUAAGCAUAUAACUAAGCGGAGGAAAAGAAACUAACGAGGAUUUCCUUAGUAACGGCGAGUGAAAAGGAAAAAGCCCAACGCUGAAUCCAAUAGAUAUUUGUCUAUAUGGAAAUGUAGCGUAUAGGUGUAACUAUCCGUAACAUAUUUUUACACCCAAAGUCCCCUUGAGCGGGGCUACAGUCCAUAGAAGGUGCUAGACCUGUACGGGUGAAAAAAGUUACGGUAGGUUAUUCCUUGGAGUCGGGUUGUUUGAGAUUGCAGCCCAAAGAGGGUGGUAAACCUCAUCUAAGGCUAAAUACGACCACGAGACCGAUAGCAAACAAGUACCGUGAGGGAAAGUUGCAAAGAACUUUGAAGAGAGAGUUCAAGAGGGCGUGAAACCGCUGAGAUGGAAACGGAUAGAGUUAACGAAACUUAUCGGUAUUCAACCAAUCAAUUUAGCAAUCUUAAUUGAUUUAUUAUUCAUUAAUAUUUUUUUAUUAAUGAAUAAAAUGAUAUUUAAGAUAUGAAUGCUAAAUUUAUAAUAUAAUGAUUGGUGUAUUUAUCGAUGGUAUGCAUCGAGAGCUUCGUUUUAGCAUAUUAAUAUAGCUAAUUUAGUGGAUCAAUUAUUUCAAUUGAUAAUUGAAACCCUAAAUCUAUUGAAAUAUGUCUUAAAUGAAGUUUUAAUCCCAUAUGUGUAACUUUCACUUGAAAUAAUAGUGACAUGCAUCGAUUAUAAUUUUUGCUAAUUACAUUUACAUGUGGUCGCAUGCGACUUUAUCGGUAAAUGUUGAUGAAAUAAUUGGUAAUAUUAUAAUAUUGUAUGCAUUAUUAAAAGUUACAUCUCGAUGUGAACGUUAAUCACCUAUCUGACCCGUCUUGAAACACGGACCAAGGAGUCUAGCAUAUACGCAAGUUAUUGGGUAGUAAACCUGAUUAUAAAAGCAUAAUGAAAGUAAAGAUUAUCUUUGGUAUAAUUGAUAUGUGAUCUAUAUAUUAUAUGUAUAUGUAAAAGUAUGCAUAUAUUAUAUAUAGCGUAACAUAACCCCGUUCAUAUUGCAUGCAAUAGGGCGGAGGUAGAGCGUAUAUGCUGGGACCCGAAAGAUGGUGAACUAUACCUGAGCAGGAUGAAGCCAGAGGAAACUCUGGUGGAGGUCCGAAGCGAUUCUGACGUGCAAAUCGAUCGUCUGACUUUGGUAUAGGGGCGAAAGACUAAUCGAACUAUCUAGUAGCUGGUUCCCUCUGAAGUUUCCCUCAGGAUAGCUGGAGUACGUAAUGAAGCAGUUAUAUUCGGUAAAGCGAAUGAUUAGAGGAAUUGUGGGACGAAACGUCUUCAACCUAUUCUCAAACUUUCAAUGAGUAUGACGUCUUGCUUGCUUAAAUGAAGCGUAGACAUUGAAUGUGUGCUCCAAGUGGGCCAUUUUUGGUAAGCAGAACUGGCGCUGUGGGAUGAACCAAACGUUGAGUUAAAGUGCCAAACUUUCCGCUCAUGAGACCCCAUGAAAGGCGUUGGUUGAUAUAGACAGCAGGACGGUGGCCAUGGAAGUUGGAAACCGCUAAGGAGUGUGUAACAACUCACCUGCCGAAUCAACUAGCCCUGAAAAUGGAUGGCGCUUGAGCGGGAGACUUAUACUCAACCGUUGCAUGGCUUGUGUUAAAAAAUUUGAAAAAAAGAAAGAAAGAAAUGGGAAACCUGGCCGCAACGAGUAAGAGGGUCGCAAUGGUUAGCGUUGAAGACUUUGGGCGUAGGCCCAGUUGGAGCUUCCAUUGGUGCAGAUCUUGGUGGUAGUAGCAAAUAUUCAAGUGAGAUCCUUGAAGACUGAAGUGGAGAAGGGUUCCACGUGAACAGCAGUUGAAUGUGGGUCAGUCGAUCCUAAGAUAUUGGCUAAUGCCGUUUUUAAUAAAAUAGAGGAAUGGAGGUGUAAUCCAUCUGAUAAAUCGAAAGGGAAACGGGUUAAUAUUCCCGUACCUGGACACGGAGAUAAAUGCUCAUCGUGAGGAUUUAGCGCGGUAACGCAAAUGAACUCGGAAACAUUGAGGAAAGCCCGAGCCAGAGUUCUCUUUUCUGGUUAAGGAACGGACUCCCUGGAAUCGGUUCAGCCGGAGAUAGGGAUGUUGUUUCCGUAAAGCGCCACGGUUCCUGUGGUGUCUCGUGCGCUUUGUUCGAUCCAUGAAAAUCCGAGGGAGGCUAUUUGAAUUUCGUGCCAGAUCGUACCCAUAUCCGCAGCAGGUCUCCAAGGUGAACAGCCUCUAGUCGAUAGAAUAAUGUAGGUAAGGGAAGUCGGCAAAUUAGAUCCGUAACUUCGGGAUAAGGAUUGGCUCUAAGGACUGGGCCGGUCGGGCUGUAAUGUGAAGUGAGUACGGUUUGAUCCAUGCAGUGUAACAUUAAUGAAUCAUGCAUUCAUUGAUGAAACUCGGCUAGUGUUCGAACUGUCUUAUGGACCGUUACAGCUGCGUAUCACAUUUGCUUUUUUUCAACAAAGUGAAUGUUUAUUGAUACUUCGGCCGGCGUUAAACAGUCAACUUAGAACUGGCACGGACUCGGGGAAUCCGACUGUCUAAUUAAAACAGAGGAGACAGAUGGCCCUUGCGGGCGUUGACUGUCUCUGAUUUCUGCCCAGUGCUCUGAAUGUAAAAGUGAAGAAAUUCAACCAAGCGCGGGUAAACGGCGGGAGUAACUAUGACUCUCUUAAGGUAGCCAAAUGCCUCGUCAUCUAAUUCGUGACGCGCAUGAAUGGAUUAACGAGAUUCCCACUGUCCCUAUCUACUAUCUAGCGAAACCACAGCCAAGGGAACGGGCUUGGCAAACACAGCGGGGAAAGAAGACCCUGUUGAGCUUGACUCUAGUCCGACUCUGUGAAGAGUCAUGAGAGGUGUAGCAUAAGUGGGAGGUUUUUGUAUUCUUGUACAAAUACCAACAGUGAAAUACCACUACUUUCAUCGAUUCUUUACUUAUUCGGUAAAACGAGAAUUGAAGCAUUAUAUGUGUUUCGAAAUUUUUGAUUUAAGUUAAACUACUCGGUGGUUUAACGACUCGCACCGAAGACAGUGUCAGGCGGGGAGUUUGACUGGGGCGGUACAUCUGUCAAAACGUAACGCAGGUGUCCUAAGGCUAGCUCAGAGAGGACGGAAACCUCUCGUAGAGUAAAAGGGCAAAAGCUCGCUUGAUCUUGAUUUCCAGUACGAAUACAGACCGCGAAAGCGUGGCCUAUCGAUCCUUUUGAAUUUCUUAGAAGGUUUCUAGCAAGAGGUGUCAGAAAAGUUACCACAGGGAUAACUGGCUUGUGGCAGCCAAGCGUCCAUAGCGACGUUGCUUUUUGNNNNNNNNNNNNNNNNNNNNAAAUUUUUAGUUCUAUAUAUAUAUAUAUAUAUAUAUAUAUACUAACAAAUAUAUAUAUAUAUGCAAAAAAUAUAUAUAUUCAUGUAAAGAAUGAUAUAGUAUAUAAGAAUGGUAUUUUAUAGUAUGUAUGUGUCGUAAAAUUUUCAUGUAUACUAUGCAAUUUUCAUUAAUAAAUAAAUAUAUAUAAAUAAAAUGUCAAAUUUUUUAUUAGUUAAAAAUUCCAAUAAAAAACACUAUCAAACUAUUUUCUAGUAUAUAUAAAAAAAAAAAGAAAAUGAAAACAAAUCGUCCAAUCAAAGGAUAAGUCUCAACAGAUCGCAGUAUGGAGGCUGCUCUACUGCUUACAACACCUUGACCAGUAAUCAAGUCGUCUGCAAGUGAUCUUGCGCCCCGACAUUGUACCAGAGUAAUCCGGUUUUGGCAACCAUUUAACCAUUCGAUUAAAUAGCAAAGCCAUAUAAUGGGGCAUUAGCUGUAAUAAUGGAUGCAUUGCAACCAUCAUUACAUAAUAGUGCCUCCCGACACCGGGGAGCAAAUUUAUCGUUGCCUUGUCUAGGUGGGAUUCUGACUUAGAGGCGUUCAGUCAUAAUCCCUCAGAUGGUAGCUUCGCACCAUUGGCCGAUCGGCCAAGCACAUGAACCAAAUGUCUGAACCUGCGGUUCCUCUCGUACUGAGCAGGAUUACUAUCGCAACAACAUAUCACAGUAGGGUAAAACUAACCUGUCUCACGACGGUCUAAACCCAGCUCACGUUCCCUAUUGGUGGGUGAACAAUCCAACGCUUGGCGAAUUCUGCUUCGCAAUGAUAGGAAGAGCCGACAUCGAAGGAUCAAAAAGCAACGUCGCUAUGGACGCUUGGCUGCCACAAGCCAGUUAUCCCUGUGGUAACUUUUCUGACACCUCUUGCUAGAAACCUUCUAAGAAAUUCAAAAGGAUCGAUAGGCCACGCUUUCGCGGUCUGUAUUCGUACUGGAAAUCAAGAUCAAGCGAGCUUUUGCCCUUUUACUCUACGAGAGGUUUCCGUCCUCUCUGAGCUAGCCUUAGGACACCUGCGUUACGUUUU